AUACGAAAGGUGCAAGCGUUGUUCGGAUUUACUGGGCGUAAAGAGAGUGUAGGUGGUUUAUUAAGUCGGAUGUGAAAUCCCGGGGCUCAACCUCGGAACUGCAUUCGAUACUGAUAGGCUAGAGUUUGGGAGGGGUAAGCGGAAUUCCGUGUGUAGCAGUGAAAUGCGUAGAUAUACGGAGUAACACCUGAGGCGAAGGCGGCUUACUGGACCAAUACUGACACUGAGACUCGAAAGCGUGGGUAGCAAACAGGAUUAGAAACCCUAGUAGUCC
This 274-nucleotide ribosomal RNA is filed under the name uncultured bacterium. RNAcentral describes it as "partial 16S ribosomal RNA". It matches the Rfam family "Bacterial small subunit ribosomal RNA", at positions 523 to 796 of the family's 1533-position model. The record is from RNAcentral.